GAUGAAGAACGUAGUGAAAUGCGAUAAGUAGUGUGAAUUGCAGAAUUCAGUGAAUCAUCGAAUCUUUGAACGCACAUUGCGCCCGGCAGUACUCUGCCGGGCAUGCCUGUUCGAGCGUCAUUUCAACCCUCAAGCGCUGCUUGGUGUUGGGGUCCCACGGCCGCCGUGGGCCCUGAAAGGAAGUGGCGGGCUCGCUACAACUCCGAGCGUAGUAAUUCAUUAUCUCGCUUAGGGCGUUGGGCGGCGCUCCUGCCGUUAAAGAACCAUCUUUAACUCAAGGUUGACCUCGGAUCAGGUAGGAAUACCCGCUGAACUUAAGCAUAUCAAUAAGCGGAGGA
This 338-nucleotide unclassified non-coding RNA is filed under the name soil metagenome. RNAcentral's name for it is "partial contains 5.8S ribosomal RNA, internal transcribed spacer 2, and large subunit ribosomal RNA". The stretch from base 1 to 120 matches the Rfam family "5.8S ribosomal RNA", at positions 35 to 154 of the family's 154-position model. The record is from RNAcentral.